This 65-nucleotide transfer RNA is filed under the name Trichogramma japonicum. Its description in RNAcentral is "tRNA-Leu". The record is from RNAcentral. Lineage: Eukaryota; Metazoa; Arthropoda; Insecta; Hymenoptera; Trichogrammatidae.
AUUACUUUAAUAUAUUAGUAUAUUAAAUUUAGAAUUUAAGUAAAUGGAUUUUUCCAUAAGUAAUA